This 257-nucleotide ribosomal RNA is filed under the name uncultured bacterium. RNAcentral describes it as "partial 16S ribosomal RNA". It matches the Rfam family "Bacterial small subunit ribosomal RNA", at positions 28 to 309 of the family's 1533-position model. The record is from RNAcentral.
GAUAAACGCUGGCGGCGUGCCUAACCCAUGCAAGUCGAGCGAUUUGUAGCAAUACAGAGAGCGGCGGAAGGGUGAGUAACACGUAGAAAUCUACCUCGACGGAGGGAACAACCCCGCGAAAGUGGGGCUAAUACCCAAAGGAUCCGCAAGGAUCAGAGUCGCAAGGCCUGUCGAGAGGAAUCUGCGGCCCAUCAGCUAGUUGGUGAGGUAAUGGCUUACCAAGGCUACGACGGGAGGGGUCUGAGAGGACGUCCCCC